AUGCUCCUGUACUGUAAGUCGCUCUGGAUAAGAGUGUCUGCUAAAUGACCAAAA
Non-coding RNA from Salmo salar (Atlantic salmon), 54 nucleotides. The record is from Rfam. NCBI's taxonomy places the organism in Eukaryota, Metazoa, Chordata, Actinopteri, Salmoniformes, Salmonidae.